AUUGAACGCUGGCGGCAAGCCUAACACAUGCAAGUCGAACGAGUGGCGGACGGGUGAGUAAUGCUUGGGAAACUGGCUUAUGGAGGGGGAUAACUACGGGAAACUGUAGCUAAUACCGCGUACCAUCGGAUGUGCCCAAGUGGGAUUAGCUAGUUGGUGGGGUAAAGGCUCACCUAGGCGACGAUCACUAGCUGGGCUGAGAGGAUGACCAGCCACACUGGAACUGAGACACGGCCCAGACUCCUACGUGAGGCAGCAGUGGGGAAUAUUGCGCAAUGGGGGCAACCUGACGCAGCCAUGCCGCGUGAAUGAAGAAGGCCUUCGGGUUGUAAAGUACUUUCGGUAGCGAGGCGUUAACUACAGAAGAAGCACCGGCUAACUCCGUGCCAGCAGCCGCGGUAAUUC
RNAcentral lists this ribosomal RNA (405 nucleotides) under uncultured bacterium. RNAcentral describes it as "partial 16S ribosomal RNA". It matches the Rfam family "Bacterial small subunit ribosomal RNA", at positions 30 to 526 of the family's 1533-position model. The record is from RNAcentral.